GGCCUUGAGUCAAGAAGGCCUCCUGGAGGAGGUGUAUCUACCCCAGCAGAGAUGUGAGUGGGACGAGGGCACGUCCCCCGGUGAUCCUGGAGGAAAUCCGCCCUGAAUGGGCAGAAGCCUCGCCACCUCCUCCAGACACUCCUCGAGCCUGCACCCAGCAGGCCCAGGAAGAAACCCUCUGAGAAGCAGACACACACCCAGGAACAGACUGUUUUCUGUGAGCCUCCCACCGGGCAGAAAAAGGAUGAUCUCAUUCGCCUUCUAAGAAGUCUUCCAAACCUCUGCCUCCACAUUUCCGACUUUUGUGCAAGUGUUUCUUGUCCCUGACUGCCAGAAAGUUCUCCUCGAUAUUUAACUUGAACCUUACUCUCGGUGGGGCAGACUUGGAGAAAGGUCGUUUAUUCAAAGUAUCCCAGCU
Long non-coding RNA from Lagenorhynchus albirostris (white-beaked dolphin), 418 nucleotides. RefSeq lists it as uncharacterized. The record is from RefSeq and is a predicted model, not a curated record. Lineage: Eukaryota; Metazoa; Chordata; Mammalia; Artiodactyla; Delphinidae. The transcript has 3 exons.